RNAcentral lists this ribosomal RNA (376 nucleotides) under uncultured bacterium. Its description in RNAcentral is "bacterial SSU rRNA". It matches the Rfam family "Bacterial small subunit ribosomal RNA", at positions 28 to 412 of the family's 1533-position model. The record is from RNAcentral.
GACGAACGCUGGCGGCGUGCCUAACACAUGCAAGUCGAACGGGACCGCAAGGUUCAGUGGCGGACGGGUGCGUAACACGUGAGGAACAUAGCCAACGGCGGGGGAUAGCCGGCCCAACGGCCGGGUAAUACCGCGCACGACCUUUGGGGGGCGAUCCCCUGGAGGUGAAAGCAGCAAUGCGCCGAUGGGGUGCCUCGCGGCCUAUCAGCUAGUUGGUGAGGUAACGGCUCACCAAGGCACGACGGGUAGCUGGUCCGAGAGGAUGAUCAGCCACACUGGGACUGAGACACGGCCCAGACUCCUACGGGAGGCAGCAGGUGGGGAAUAUUGGACAAUGGGCGAAAGCCUGAUCCAGCCAUGCCGCGUGAGUGAAGAA